GUACUUUAUAAGUUAUAUAAAAGUAUACACAUGCACAAACUAUGAUGGGUUUUGGAAGUAGCCCCCCGAGGGAGGCGUGAGUGUGCACUCUCUGCCGUCGAGACGGCAAAAAAUCAAUGAUGAUCCUUCCGCAGGUUCACCUACGGAAA
This 149-nucleotide unclassified non-coding RNA is filed under the name uncultured fungus. RNAcentral's name for it is "sequence contains ITS1". The record is from RNAcentral. Lineage: Eukaryota; Fungi.